RNAcentral lists this unclassified non-coding RNA (1949 nucleotides) under Leishmania donovani. RNAcentral describes it as "gene:LdHU3.14.0910(CDS-product:fatty_acid_elongas e_putative)". The record is from RNAcentral. Lineage: Eukaryota; Euglenozoa; Kinetoplastea; Trypanosomatida; Trypanosomatidae.
GGGGUGCCUAAAAGCUCACACGCGCGCACACAUAUCUGCAUCGAGCCUACCAUUAGAAACGGGAUGGAGGCCCUCGACAACUACCUCAUCGCCCACUACGACGGCCACGCCGUGCAGAAGUGGCUGGCGAGCAACGUGGACAUUAGUGUGUACAUUGCUGCGGCCUACCUAACCUUCGUCUUUAAGGGCCCGCAGUUGGUGGACUUGAUCUUCCGCGGCAACCCACCGACAAGGCUGAUAAAGAUGUGCUGGACUCUGUGGAACAUCGGACUCGCCGUCUUCUCCAUGUACGGGGUGUACCACAUUGUUCCCCUCUUCAUCAACAACCUUCGCAAGUACGGCCAGAAGGACGCGCUGUGCCGGUUCCGCGAAGAUGAAUUCUACACCGGCAAGAACGGCGUUGCCAUGGGGCUCUUCUCCCUUUCGAAACUGCCCGAGUUCGGCGACACCUUCUUCCUGAUCAUGGGCGGCAAGCGCAAGCUGCCCUUCCUCUCGUGGUUCCACCACGUCACCAUCUUCCUCUACGCGUGGAUGGCGUACCAGCAGGCCUCCAGCAUCUGGAUCGUGCUGGCCUCCAUCAACUACUUUGUGCACUCCAUCAUGUACACGUACUUCGCCCUCGCCGAGGCUGGCUUCAAGAAGCUGGUGAAGCCGUUCGCCAUGUACAUCACGCUGCUACAGAUCGCGCAGAUGGUGGUGGGUCUCUACUUUACUUUCUCCUUUAUAAGCUACCACAAGGCAGACCCGAAGGGCUGCAACGGCUCGACGAUGGCGCUGGCACGCGGCCAGUGCAUGAUCUACUUCUUCAACCUCUACCUCUUCUCAGAGAUGUUCAUCAAGGGCUACGUGCUGCCGCGUAAGGCGGCGGCUGGCGACUCCGCAGCUGCCACCGCCCCCGCUGGUAAGAAGCGCAACUGAUGAGCACUCGUGUAUAAAGCGGCCGUAAGCUGGGCGAAGACGUGUGACAGCGCGAAGAAGAUGUACUGCUUCUUCUUUUUGUUUCUGUUUUGGUGGUGGGGAGAGGGGAUGGGGUAUCUCUGUCUGUGCUGAGGCUAUGAGCCUCUUCCCUCUCCCUCGUUGUUCUCCGCCCGAUCCGAUGCCUCCAGUACAUGGCCUUGUAAGGAGGACGUAUGUGUAAGGCCAGUGACACUCGCUCUCUUCAUCUUUCUCCCUCCGAUUUGAUUUGUUUCUCUCUCACUCCGUUGCAGCCUUGUACGGCGGCGGGACACGAUUCCGAGGCUGCGAGCAAGACGGCAUGAAGAAGAAUAGCCUACAAGGUAACUUCCUUUACGCUUUUAUUUUGGUUUGUUUGUUGUGCGGUGACGUGUUGCCUAAAGGCCCGCCCACCCCACCCCCUCGUCCUCGCGCAUGCGACUGUUGUGCAUGUGCGCAUGCACGUGGAUGACCGGAAAGUAACGGUCAUACAUGUGCUGUAUAGAGAGAAGGUUUCUGUUUGGAGGUUUGUAUGCAUAUUGUGAGAGUGGUGACGGCCGAGGCGUCUGUGAGCAAAGUCGCCUUCCGCAUCCCUUUCUUUUCGCCUUGCAUGAGCUCUCUAUCGUCGCCGCCAACACCAUAUUGGCCCAGCCGCCAAGCGCGGGUGCACCCGACGCGAGACAGUGCACGUAGAAAAAGUUGGGUGGAGGUGCCGUGCGCGUCAUGUCGAAUAGGAAAAAAUAAAAGACGGCACCGCACGUGUGAAGCCGAAGCCGGUUGUUUCUGCAGGGUUCAUCGGCACGUCGUUUUACUGGUGCCGGAGAGACGGUGGACGUGGCGAAUGAGCGGGAGAGUUGCAGGGCAGUCGGAAGAGGGGGAGGAGUGAUGGCAACCAUGUGUGCGCCUAAGCACGCAUGCGUCUACUACUCAUACGUCGUGAUUGGGUAUACGUGAUGCUCGACGUGCUAUCCUGCUCCCUCCUUCCCACACACCCUUCGCUCUCGCUCUACCUUAUC